Molecule: long non-coding RNA, 419 nt
Organism: Prionailurus viverrinus (fishing cat)
Lineage: Eukaryota; Metazoa; Chordata; Mammalia; Carnivora; Felidae
Exons: 2
Source: RefSeq, a predicted model, not a curated record
CGCCGACUCCACUCCCGCCGUGCCCCGCGCGUGGGGGGGGGGGGGCGGGGCUGCCUACGGGAGCGAAGCGUGAGGGCACGCCGCUCGCCGUUGUCCAAUGGGAGGGCGCUCUUGCCCAGGUCUGCGGGGUCUGCAGGGGAUUGUGGUUUAGGCCCUGACUGGUCUUCGGGCGCUGUUUCUGGAGUAGAGCAAGGCGCGCAUUCCCCUGUUGAUUUGGCGUCCGCGAGGCAUCUUGUCCGGAAGUCAUUCCUUCAUUCAAGAACUGUAUGAAGGGCCUGUGUGGGACCAGGCACUGCAUCAGGUGCUGGUGAUCCAGGAACAAACAAAGCUGAUAAAAUUUGCUGCCCAAAUGGAGAUGGGUGUGGGGUAAUUAUUGGAGAUGGACAACAAAUUAAACAAGAUAUGCACUCUUUGUGAAA